Molecule: ribosomal RNA, 494 nt
Filed under: Bacillus cereus
Lineage: Bacteria; Bacillati; Bacillota; Bacilli; Caryophanales; Bacillaceae
Description: bacterial SSU rRNA
Rfam family: Bacterial small subunit ribosomal RNA
Source: RNAcentral
UACUGGCAAGUCGAGCGAAUGGAUUAAGAGCUUGCUCUUAUGAAGUUAGCGGCGGACGGGUGAGUAACACGUGGGUAACCUGCCCAUAAGACUGGGAUAACUCCGGGAAACCGGGGCUAAUACCGGAUAACAUUUUGAACCGCAUGGUUCGAAAUUGAAAGGCGGCUUCGGCUGUCACUUAUGGAUGGACCCGCGUCGCAUUAGCUAGUUGGUGAGGUAACGGCUCACCAAGGCAACGAUGCGUAGCCGACCUGAGAGGGUGAUCGGCCACACUGGGACUGAGACACGGCCCAGACUCCUACGGGAGGCAGCAGUAGGGAAUCUUCCGCAAUGGACGAAAGUCUGACGGAGCAACGCCGCGUGAGUGAUGAAGGCUUUCGGGUCGUAAAACUCUGUUGUUAGGGAAGAACAAGUGCUAGUUGAAUAAGCUGGCACCUUGACGGUACCUAACCAGAAAGCCACGGCUAACUACGUGCCAGCACCGCGGUAAUAAA